CAAGUCGAACGAGUUCUCGUUGAUGAUCGGUGCUUGCACUGAGAUUCAACACCGUACGAGUGGCGGACGGGUGAGUAACACGUGGGUAACCUGCCCUUAAGUGGGGGAUAACAUUUGGAAACAGAUGCUAAUACCGCAUAGAUCCAAGAACCGCAUGGUUCUUGGCUGAAAGAUGGCGUAAGCUAUCGCUUUUGGAUGGACCCGCGGCGUAUUAGCUAGUUGGUGAGGUAAUGGCUCACCAAGGCGAUGAUACGUAGCCGAACUGAGAGGUUGAUCGGCCACAUUGGGACUGAGACACGGCCCAAACUCCUACGGGAGGCAGCAGUAGGGAAUCUUCCACAAUGGACGCAAGUCUGAUGGAGCAACGCCGCGUGAGUGAAGAAGGCUUUCGGGUCGUAAAACUCUGUUGUUGGAGAAGAAUGGUCGGCAGAGUAACUGUUGUCGGCGUGACGGUAUCCAACCAGAAAGCCACGGCUAACUACGUGCCAGCAGCCGCGGUAAUACGUAGGUGGCAAGCGUUAUCCGGAUUUAUUGGGCGUAAAGCGAGCGCAGGCGGUUUUUUAAGUCUGAUGUGAAAGCCCUCGGCUUAACCGAGGAAGCGCAUCGGAAACUGGGAAACUUGAGUGCAGAAGAGGACAGUGGAACUCCAUGUGUAGCGGUGAAAUGCGUAGAUAUAUGGAAGAACACCAGUGGCGAAGGCGGCUGUCUGGUCUGUAACUGACGCUGAGGCUCGAAAGCAUGGGUAGCGAACAGGAUUAGAUACCCUGGUAGUCCAUGCCGUAAACGAUGAAUGCUAGGUGUUGGAGG
RNAcentral lists this ribosomal RNA (807 nucleotides) under uncultured bacterium. RNAcentral describes it as "bacterial SSU rRNA". It matches the Rfam family "Bacterial small subunit ribosomal RNA", at positions 58 to 829 of the family's 1533-position model. The record is from RNAcentral.